CCAGGGGGCCGGACGGCCGCCGGCGGAACGCCUUCGGGCGGGCCGCGGGAGGAAAGUCCGAACUCCUCCGGACAGGGCGCCGGCUAACGGCCGGGCGGCGCGAGCCGACGGAAAGUGCCACAGAAACAUACCGCCGUCGCGGGCCUCGGCUCCGGCGGUAAGGGUGAAAUGGUGCGGUAAGAGCGCACCGGCGUCCCGGAGACGGGGCGGCCGGGCAAACCCCACCCGGAGCAAGGCCAAAUAGGGGAGCGUUCGGGGCGUCCGGCUCCGCUCCCGGGUAGGCCGCUGGAGACGGCGGGCAACCGCCGUCCUAGAUGGAUGGCCGUCGCCGCCCUCGGGGCGGUACAGAAUUCGGCUUACAGGCCCCCUGGCCCC
RNAcentral lists this RNase P RNA (375 nucleotides) under Chloroflexota bacterium. Its description in RNAcentral is "Chloroflexi bacterium RNase P RNA component class A". It matches the Rfam family "Bacterial RNase P class A". From Rfam's summary of the family: Ribonuclease P (RNase P) is a ubiquitous endoribonuclease, found in archaea, bacteria and eukarya as well as chloroplasts and mitochondria. Its best characterised activity is the generation of mature 5'-ends of tRNAs by cleaving the 5'-leader elements of precursor-tRNAs. Cellular RNase Ps are ribonucleoproteins. The record is from RNAcentral. Lineage: Bacteria; Bacillati; Chloroflexota.